UUAAAGAGUGUUUUGUCUGAUGGAUAAAGAUGAAUUGGAUAUUAUGAUUUUUUUUUUAAGUUGUAUGCUGCUGCACAAUAUAAAAAUCAAUUUUCCUAAUGCUAUUUUAAAAGAGAAAUAUUUAUCUCAUCAAAAGGAAUAGGAAAUUCACUGUAGAGUUGUUAUUUAUAAAAUGAUUUGCCUUUGUAUAAAAUAUAACAUUGUACUCUCAUCAUUCUUGAGGAAAUCAUGUUCGGCUUUGUUUGAUUUUGAUUUUGGAAAACAAACCCACCAACAAGCUCUUGUUCUUGGGUUUGAAUCGGACCUAUUUAUAUCAUCAGCUUAGAUUACAUGAGUUUAAAAUGUGGGAAGUUAAGUGAUGAAAGAAUACUGUUCGAUGAAAUUCCUUAGAGAAAUAUUGUUACUUGGACUUCUUUAAUCACCCGGUAUGUUCAAAAUGAUGAUGCUCAUGAAGCGUUAAUGGUUUCUAAGGAGUUUUUGAUUGAGAAGAGUGAAGGAAAUGGUGAAGAGGUAGGAACUUCUGUUGAUUCUGUUGCUAUGGUUUCUGUUUUAUCGGCUUGUUCUUGUGUUUCUAAUAAAGCAGUCAGGGAGGGAGUUCAUGGAGUUGCUAUGAAGGUCGGGUUGGAUAAAGUGAUGGGAGUUGAGAAUACUUUGUUCGAUGCGUAUAUAAAGUGUGGUGAAAUGAGUUUGCCUGGAAAGGUGUUGGAAUUCUGUGAUUGCUGUGUAUGCCCAAAAUGGGUUAUCGAUGGAUGCUUUUGAAGUUUUUCAUGGGAUGUUAAAGGAUGGUGGUGGUAAAGACAAUGAGGUGACCUUUUCCACUUUGUUGCUAGCAACCAGGAACACCCUCUUCCUCUAAUCAUCCUAGUUCGUCUUCUAGUUCUCCCCAAGAUUAUCAGUUAGUAUUGCUGAAUCUAAAUCAAUAUUUGUGGAUAACUUUAAUUCAUUGACUUGCAGGUGCAGCUGAAGAAAUUGAUGCAGAUGGGGAAUCAAGCAGCACCAUUGCAAAUUGCGUUGACCGUGUUACGUCGGCUGGUCUCUUAGACAAUGAAAUUUGAGGCAAAAGAAUUAAAAAAGGUGGGAGGAAGAACAUUUUCAAGCAGAAAUUUGACGUUAGAGCAGGAGAAAAGCUACUAAAGACAUCACACUUCUUUUUGUCAACUGAAAGCGGUGCUGUUCCAGGACUUUUUUUUUUUUUUAGUUUAACGUGAAUAUCUGGAUCAACUUGCGCGCAUCUCGACUAGUUCCACGAGCCCUGAAAUUUACGACCAUGUAAGCCUCCAGUGGUCAUCAUAUGAGCAACCACAAGGCUCGAACUUGAGACUACAGGGAGAGCAAACCUCUUGGCUCUAAGCUCUUAUCACUGGACCACCAUCUAGAUGGUUGCAGGACUUCUUCUUAUUUCUACUGAAAAGAUUGCUUUCUGCAGUCAGCGAUCAAUUUCCUUCAAUAUUCUUAAUUAGCAGCACAAUGAGACAGUUGAACAGGUGAAUGUCCUCUUUAUUAUAUUUUUCAUGUCUCGACUAGGUAAGUCUUAUUCAAUUGACUUUAUAUACCAAUUAAUAUAUUAGUAUUUUUUUUUUUUGAGAAAGUUCUGUUAUGGAUAUGGUGCUACAAUGAAGUUUGAUAUAUUUUUCUUUUGAAAAAAUUGAACUCAUUUUUAUUUUUGAAAAGUAGAGCUGAAUAUUGAUAGCAAUGGGCCAAUUUGCAGUA
Molecule: long non-coding RNA, 1710 nt
Organism: Populus nigra (black poplar)
Lineage: Eukaryota; Viridiplantae; Streptophyta; Magnoliopsida; Malpighiales; Salicaceae
Exons: 3
Source: RefSeq, a predicted model, not a curated record